Molecule: transfer RNA, 73 nt
Filed under: Vitiosangium cumulatum
Lineage: Bacteria; Pseudomonadati; Myxococcota; Myxococcia; Myxococcales; Archangiaceae
Also listed under: 2 other names
Description: tRNA-Gly
Rfam family: tRNA
About the family: Transfer RNA (tRNA) molecules are approximately 80 nucleotides in length. Their secondary structure includes four short double-helical elements and three loops (D, anti-codon, and T loops).
Source: RNAcentral
GCGGUCGUGGCCGAGAGGCAGAGGCCCCUGAGCGCCACUCAGGUGUACGCGGGUUCGAAUCCCGCCGACCGCU